This 851-nucleotide ribosomal RNA is filed under the name uncultured bacterium. RNAcentral's name for it is "bacterial SSU rRNA". It matches the Rfam family "Bacterial small subunit ribosomal RNA", at positions 50 to 892 of the family's 1533-position model. The record is from RNAcentral.
GCUACCUGCAGUCGGAGGUAGCACAGAGGAGCUUGCUCCUCGGGUGACGAGUGGCGGACGGGUGAGUAAUGUCUGGGGAUCUGCCCGAUAGAGGGGGAUAACCACUGGAAACGGUGGCUAAUACCGCAUAACGUCGCAAGACCAAAGAGGGGGACCUUCGGGCCUCUCACUAUCGGAUGAACCCAGAUGGGAUUAGCUAGUAGGCGGGGUAAUGGCCCACCUAGGCGACGAUCCCUAGCUGGUCUGAGAGGAUGACCAGCCACACUGGAACUGAGACACGGUCCAGACUCCUACGGGAGGCAGCAGUGGGGAAUAUUGCACAAUGGGCGCAAGCCUGAUGCAGCCAUGCCGCGUGUAUGAAGAAGGCCUUCGGGUUGUAAAGUACUUUCAGCGGGGAGGAAGGCGGUGAGGUUAAUAACCUCGCCGAUUGACGUUACCCGCAGAAGAAGCACCGGCUAACUCCGUGCCAGCAGCCGCGGUAAUACGGAGGGUGCAAGCGUUAAUCGGAAUUACUGGGCGUAAAGCGCACGCAGGCGGUCUGUUAAGUCAGAUGUGAAAUCCCCGGGCUUAACCUGGGAACUGCAUUUGAAACUGGCAGGCUUGAGUCUCGUAGAGGGGGGUAGAAUUCCAGGUGUAGCGGUGAAAUGCGUAGAGAUCUGGAGGAAUACCGGUGGCGAAGGCGGCCCCCUGGACGAAGACUGACGCUCAGGUGCGAAAGCGUGGGGAGCAAAUAGGAUUAGAUACCCUGGUAGUCCACGCCGUAAACGAUGUCGACUUGGAGGUUGUUCCCUUGAGGAGUGGCUUCCGGAGCUAACGCGUUAAGUCGACCGCCUGGGGAGUACGGCCGCAAG